This 22-nucleotide microRNA is filed under the name Sarcophilus harrisii (Tasmanian devil). Its description in RNAcentral is "Sha-Mir-7254-v1_5p (mature (guide))". RNAcentral also lists the same sequence under 2 other names. Lineage: Eukaryota; Metazoa; Chordata; Mammalia; Dasyuromorphia; Dasyuridae. The record is from RNAcentral.
UCACCACCUCCUUGAAUCCUGU